AAAGUGAGUAGAAGCGGUCAGUGCGGGAACUCCGCGCGGGACAUUGCUCAGCAA
This 54-nucleotide non-coding RNA is filed under the name gamma proteobacterium WG36. RNAcentral's name for it is "Xanthine riboswitch aptamer (NMT1 RNA)". It matches the Rfam family "Xanthine riboswitch aptamer (NMT1 RNA)". Rfam says of the family: Later it was reported as a ncRNA that recognised Xanthine. The record is from Rfam by way of RNAcentral. Lineage: Bacteria; Pseudomonadati; Pseudomonadota; Gammaproteobacteria. RNAcentral also lists the same sequence under 2 other names.